GACAGAGGUGCCGAGCGUUAGGCGGAAUCACUGGGCUUAAAGCGUGUGUAGGCGGACUUCUAAGUACCUUGUGAAAUCCCACCGCUUAACCGUGGAACUGCUUGGUAUACUGGUUGUCUUGGGCCAUCUAGGGGCUACUGGAACAAACGGUGGAGCGGUGAAAUGCGUAGAUAUCGUUUGGAACGCCAAUGGUGAAAACAAGUAGCUGGGGAUGUGCCGACGCUGAGACACGAAAGCCAGGGGAGCGAACGGG
This 253-nucleotide ribosomal RNA is filed under the name uncultured bacterium. Its description in RNAcentral is "partial 16S ribosomal RNA". It matches the Rfam family "Bacterial small subunit ribosomal RNA", at positions 524 to 776 of the family's 1533-position model. The record is from RNAcentral.